UGGAAGUAAAAGUCGUAACAAGGUCUCCGUUGGUGAACCAGCGGAGGGAUCAUUACCGAGUUAUUCAACUCAUCAACCCUGUGAACAUACCUAAACGUUGCUUCGGCGGGAAUAGACGGCCCCGUGAAACGGGCCGCCCCCGCCAGAGGACCCUUAACUCUGUUUCUAUAAUGUUUCUUUUGAGUAAAACAAGCAAAUAAAUUAAAACUUUCAACAACGGAUCUCUUGGCUCUGGCAUCGAUGAAGAACGCAGCGAAAUGCGAUAAGUAAUGUGAAUUGCAGAAUUCAGUGAAUCAUCGAAUCUUUGAACGCACAUUGCGCCCGCCAGUAUUCUGGCGGGCAUCCCUGUUCGAGCGUCAUUACAACCCUCAGGCCCCCGGGCCUGGCGUUGGGGAUCGGCGGAGCCCCCCGUGGGCACACGCCGUCCCCCAAAUACAGUGGCGGUCCCGCCGCAGCUUCCAUCGCGUAGUAGCUAACACCUCGCGCCUGGAGAGCGGCCCGGCCCCGCCGUAAAACACCCACUCUUCUGAAGUUGACCUCGAAU
Molecule: ribosomal RNA, 544 nt
Filed under: fungal sp. GZ-2010b
Lineage: Eukaryota; Fungi
Description: eukaryotic LSU rRNA
Rfam family: 5.8S ribosomal RNA (bases 206-359)
Source: RNAcentral